RNAcentral lists this long non-coding RNA (461 nucleotides) under Elaeis guineensis (African oil palm). Its description in RNAcentral is "long non-coding RNA (EGUI_LNC003544)". Lineage: Eukaryota; Viridiplantae; Streptophyta; Magnoliopsida; Arecales; Arecaceae. The record is from RNAcentral.
UAGCUAAGGAGCCAAGGUCUCACCAGAAGUCCAAGCACAUCGAGCGGCGAUUCCAUCUGAUCCAUGAAUACCUCGAAAAAGGUUAUGUCGAGGUCAAGAGAGUCGACUCCACAGACAAUGUGGCAGACCCGCUGACUAAGCCAUUGGGCCAAUAGAAGAUCGAAGCCCACCUUGAGAAGAUGGGACUUAGAUAUGUAGCCAAUUGGCAUUAGGUCAAGUGGGAGUUUGUUAGAUGUGUGCCCUAGAUGCCAGAUCGGCUGACACAUUCCUGUACAAAUCUAAGGAUAAAAUUAUAAUUUUGACUAUAAAUGAAUAAAAGGAUUAUUCUUCUAUCAUAUUAUGUACAUUGUGUCUGUGAUACAUCUUUUGAGUUAGUGGAAAUGUUAAUUCAUAUUUUCAAGAGUUGAAAAUUUAAGGCAUGAAUUUACAUAACUAACUCAUAAACUGCUCCUGACCAUAGG